Molecule: ribosomal RNA, 466 nt
Filed under: uncultured bacterium
Lineage: Bacteria
Description: partial 16S ribosomal RNA
Rfam family: Bacterial small subunit ribosomal RNA
Source: RNAcentral
GACGAACGCUGGCGGCGCGCCUAACACAUGCAAGUCGAACGAGCGAGAGAGAGCUUGCUUUCUUGAGCGAGUGGCGAACGGGUGAGUAACGCGUGAGGAACCUGCCUCAAAGAGGGGGACAACAGUUGGAAACGACUGCUAAUACCGCAUAAGCCCACGGUGCCGCAUGGCACAGAGGGAAAAGGAGCAAUCCGCUUUGAGAUGGCCUCGCGUCCGAUUAGCUAGUUGGUGAGGUAACGGCCCACCAAGGCGACGAUCGGUAGCCGGACUGAGAGGUUGAACGGCCACAUUGGGACUGAGACACGGCCCAGACUCCUACGGGAGGCAGCAGUGGGGAAUAUUGCACAAUGGGGAAAACCCUGAUGCAGCGACGCCGCGUGGAGGAAGAAGGUCUUCGGAUUGUAAACUCCUGUUGUUGGGGAAGAUAAUGACGGUACCCAACAAGGAAGUGACGGCUAACUACGUG